This 80-nucleotide microRNA precursor is filed under the name Tursiops truncatus (common bottlenose dolphin). RNAcentral describes it as "miRNA (ENSTTRG00000022027.1)". Lineage: Eukaryota; Metazoa; Chordata; Mammalia; Artiodactyla; Delphinidae. The record is from RNAcentral.
GUGGGCCAGGGGAGCAGGUGGGAGCAAGCCAACUAGCAUUCCCGGGGGCUUAUGUCUCACCAUGACCCUGAUCCCACUAG